This 370-nucleotide ribosomal RNA is filed under the name uncultured bacterium. RNAcentral's name for it is "bacterial SSU rRNA". It matches the Rfam family "Bacterial small subunit ribosomal RNA", at positions 84 to 461 of the family's 1533-position model. The record is from RNAcentral.
AUGCUGCACGAGUGGAGUACGGGUGAGUAAUACAUCUUUCCGUGGCCGAUCGUGGGGGAUAACUGCUGCUAAGCUGUGCUAAUACCUUCUACGAUCUAAUGAUGAAAGCAGGGGAUCGCCCGACCUCGAGCGGAUGGAUCGGCCGAUGGCGGAUUACGUAGGUGGUGGGAUAAAAGCUUACCAAGCCGAUGAUCUGCCGCUGGGCUGAUGAGACGACCAGCCNACUGGGACUGAGACACGGCCGNACUCCUUGGGAGGGGGCGUGGGGAAUUUUGGACAAUGGGGGAAACCCUGAUCCGCCCAUGCCGCGUGCAGGAUGAAGGCCUUCGGGUUGNAAACUGCUUUUGUACGGAACGAAAAGGUCCUUUCU